UGGAAGCUGCGUUUCAGGCAGUGGCUGCGGAUGUUCUAUCUGUUGGUCAAGGUUCCACUGGACGCGUCUCCGUUGUUGUUGGUUUGUGUGGUAGUGUUAGUGUGAGCACACGCUCCCCCAGAAACUGGCAGGAGUGAAGCUGGCGUCUCAUUAAAGAGAGCAGCAGCAGGUGUGAGGGGGCGGAGCCUGAUCAGGUGAGGCUCCGCCCGUGGCAGGAAACAGUGAACCUCCGACCACUGCUCAGCGCCGUGAUUCCUCUGCUUUUACGUAGUUUUACCUGUGAAGCUGCUGGUGUGUAAAUUACUUGUCUGUUGGUUCAGUGAAACAUUUCUGCAAAGCACAGAGGCGAGGAGUUGGAGCAAAAGGAAAAGACGCCUCACGAGGACGGAGACGCUGGAACGUUGGCCGUCCAGCGGCGGUUCUGACUCGGCUGUGACUCGUCCGGCUCAUUGAGGAAACAUGCUCUCAGCUCCACCCUAAAAGCACAGGACGCGUGGAUGAAGACGCCGCUGCCUCCCGUUCAUUCACUCAGCCAGCGCUGGUGUGUGGAUUGGGUCCUAAUAGGUUCAUUCUGCUCUGUUUGCUCAUUUGUGCGCGUGUGCAGGUUGUGUGCUUUAUGUAAACACAGAGCAGCCUUGGUCUGGAUUGGAUUGAAUGCUCCUGCUCUCACAGCAGCAUCCUUGUUCUGCCGGGGUUUCAAGAUGAAAGCAAAGUGCACAUUUGAUUGAGAGAAGCUGAAAGAGGCUUUUCUCUCCUCGCUCUCAAAAGGACACGUUUCUCUCAGUGGGCGCUGGUGUUCUCUGGUGGACGACGUGCAAACUAUACCUGUGUUUCUGGGAGCGUCCGCGAAGGAAGGUGAUUUGACAUCAGUGAAAUCAUUCAGCGGCAUAAAAGCACAAAUCCAUGCGUCAGAAUGAAAAGUCAUAUUUGUGAAGUGAAUCCAGAUGAUUUUGUUAAACCGUGUUUCCACUCAUUGCACUACGUGUUUAUUCACCCACUGUUUUGUUAUCAUGAAUAUUUCAUCUUUGGUGUUGCGUUCAAGAACACACUGUCCUGUCUCCACUGUGUUAUGUUCAGAAAAUAAAGGCUCAUCACGUUCAAGCUUCA
Molecule: long non-coding RNA, 1107 nt
Organism: Betta splendens (Siamese fighting fish)
Lineage: Eukaryota; Metazoa; Chordata; Actinopteri; Anabantiformes; Osphronemidae
Exons: 2
Source: RefSeq, a predicted model, not a curated record